Molecule: ribosomal RNA, 494 nt
Filed under: uncultured bacterium
Lineage: Bacteria
Description: partial 16S ribosomal RNA
Rfam family: Bacterial small subunit ribosomal RNA
Source: RNAcentral
GACGAACGCUGGCGGCGUGCCUAAUACAUGCAAGUAGAACGCUGAGGGAGGAACUUGCUCUUCUGGAUGAGUUGCGCACGGGUGAGUAACGCGUAUGUAACCUGCCUGGUAGCGGGGGAUAACUCUUGGAAACGAUAGCUCAUACCGCAUAAGAGUAUAUGUUGCAUGACGUUUACUUAAAAGAUGCAAUUUCAUCACUACUAGAUGAUCCUGCGUUGUAUUAGCUAGUUGGUGGGGUAACGGCUUACCAAGGCGACGAUACAUAGCCGACCUGAGAGGGUGAUCGGCCACACUGGAACUGAGACACGGUCCAGACUCCUACGGGAGGCAGCAGUAGGGAAUCUUCGGCAAUGGGCGAAAGUCUGACCGAGCAACGCCGCGUGAGUGAAGAAGGUUUUCGGAUCGUAAAGCUCUGUUGUAAGAGAAGAACGAGUGUGAGAGUAGAAAGGCAAAACUGGAAGGGAAUUAUACAAGAAAGGAAGGGUAAAUUACGU